Molecule: unclassified non-coding RNA, 333 nt
Filed under: uncultured fungus
Lineage: Eukaryota; Fungi
Description: partial contains 5.8S ribosomal RNA and internal transcribed spacer 2
Rfam family: 5.8S ribosomal RNA (bases 1-133)
Source: RNAcentral
UGGUUCUGGCAUCGAUGAAGAACGCAGCGAAAUGCGAUAAGUAAUGUGAAUUGCAGAAUUCAGUGAAUCAUCGAAUCUUUGAACGCACAUUGCGCCCGCCAGUAUUCUGGCGGGCAUUCCUGUUCGAGCGUCAUUUCAACCCUCAAGCCCCCGGGCUUGGUGUUGGGGAUCGGCCCCUCCUCUCCGGGGGGGCCGGCCCCGAAAUCUAGUGGCGGUCUCGCUGUAGCCUCCUCUGCGUAGUAGCAACACCUCGCACUGGAACGCGGCGCGGCCACGCCGUUAAACCCCCCACUUCUGAAGGUUGACCUCGGAUCAGGUAGGAAUACCCGCUGA